ACGCUCGACACCUACGGGGGCAGCAGUCGGGAAUAUUGCGGCAAUGGAGGAAACUCUGACGCAGUGACGCCGCGUGCAGGAAAGAAGGUUUUCGGAUUGUAAACUGCUUUAGACAGGGAAGAAAGAAAUGACAGUACCUGUAGAAUAAGCUCCGGCUAACUACGUGCCNNCNCGCGUAGUAUNGCGGCGNGUGAGA
RNAcentral lists this ribosomal RNA (196 nucleotides) under uncultured bacterium. RNAcentral's name for it is "partial 16S ribosomal RNA". It matches the Rfam family "Bacterial small subunit ribosomal RNA", at positions 328 to 538 of the family's 1533-position model. The record is from RNAcentral.